RNAcentral lists this ribosomal RNA (1023 nucleotides) under Bacillus licheniformis. Its description in RNAcentral is "bacterial SSU rRNA". It matches the Rfam family "Bacterial small subunit ribosomal RNA", at positions 202 to 1218 of the family's 1533-position model. The record is from RNAcentral. Lineage: Bacteria; Bacillati; Bacillota; Bacilli; Caryophanales; Bacillaceae.
GGCUCUCAGCUACCACUUGCAGAUGGACCCGCGGCGCAUUAGCUAGUUGGUGAGGUAACGGCUCACCAAGGCGACGAUGCGUAGCCGACCUGAGAGGGUGAUCGGCCACACUGGGACUGAGACACGGCCCAGACUCCUACGGGAGGCAGCAGUAGGGAAUCUUCCGCAAUGGACGAAAGUCUGACGGAGCAACGCCGCGUGAGUGAUGAAGGUUUUCGGAUCGUAAAACUCUGUUGUUAGGGAAGAACAAGUACCGUUCGAAUAGGGCGGUACCUUGACGGUACCUAACCAGAAAGCCACGGCUAACUACGUGCCAGCAGCCGCGGUAAUACGUAGGUGGCAAGCGUUGUCCGGAAUUAUUGGGCGUAAAGCGCGCGCAGGCGGUUUCUUAAGUCUGAUGUGAAAGCCCCCGGCUCAACCGGGGAGGGUCAUUGGAAACUGGGGAACUUGAGUGCAGAAGAGGAGAGUGGAAUUCCACGUGUAGCGGUGAAAUGCGUAGAGAUGUGGAGGAACACCAGUGGCGAAGGCGACUCUCUGGUCUGUAACUGACGCUGAGGCGCGAAAGCGUGGGGAGCGAACAGGAUUAGAUACCCUGGUAGUCCACGCCGUAAACGAUGAGUGCUAAGUGUUAGAGGGUUUCCGCCCUUUAGUGCUGCAGCAAACGCAUUAAGCACUCCGCCUGGGGAGUACGGUCGCAAGACUGAAACUCAAAGGAAUUGACGGGGGCCCGCACAAGCGGUGGAGCAUGUGGUUUAAUUCGAAGCAACGCGAAGAACCUUACCAGGUCUUGACAUCCUCUGACAACCCUAGAGAUAGGGCUUCCCCUUCGGGGGCAGAGUGACAGGUGGUGCAUGGUUGUCGUCAGCUCGUGUCGUGAGAUGUUGGGUUAAGUCCCGCAACGAGCGCAACCCUUGAUCUUAGUUGCCAGCAUUCAGUUGGGCACUCUAAGGUGACUGCCGGUGACAAACCGGAGGAAGGUGGGGAUGACGUCAAAUCAUCAUGCCCCUUAUGACCUGGGCUACA